UGAGAGAGAGACAGAGAGAAAGGUCUUCCUUUGCGGUUGGUUCACCCUCCAAUGGCCGCCGCGGCCGGCGCACCGCGCUGAUCUGAUGGCAGGAGCCAGGAGCCAGGUGCUUUUCCUGGUCUCCCAUGGGGUGCAGGGCCCAAGCACCUGGCCAUUCUCCACUGCCUUCCUGGCCACAGCAGAGAGCUGGCCUGGAAGAGGGGCAACCGGGACAGAAUCCGGCGCCCCGACCGGGACUAGAACCCAGGGUGCCGGUGCCACAGGCAGAGGAUUAGCCUAUUGAGCCACGGCACUGGCCUAAAACAUUUUUUAAAAAGGAAAAAUUGUCCUCCUCGGAGUCUGCCUGUAGAGGUGCCUGGACAGUAAGUAAGGAAACAGACAGCUGUCAGUCUUGCUUCAGAUACAACUGGUUUGUCUGGGCAGUUUACUUCGGCAGCCUAGGAGCAGCUAAGAUACAUUGUGUCAUCUUUACAGGAACCGCAAAUGCACUCGGAUCCAUAUCUCCAAUGCACUCGGGUCCAUAUCUCACUCCGCUGCAUCUUUCUAAAAAUUCUAGAA
Oryctolagus cuniculus (rabbit) is the source of this 558-nucleotide non-coding RNA. The record is from RefSeq and is a predicted model, not a curated record. Lineage: Eukaryota; Metazoa; Chordata; Mammalia; Lagomorpha; Leporidae.